This is a long non-coding RNA of Triticum aestivum (bread wheat), 234 nucleotides long. RefSeq lists it as uncharacterized. The record is from RefSeq and is a predicted model, not a curated record. The transcript has 3 exons. NCBI's taxonomy places the organism in Eukaryota, Viridiplantae, Streptophyta, Magnoliopsida, Poales, Poaceae.
CUUAAAUCUGGUAACUGUUAGGGUGUCAGGUGUGGAUGCGUACAAUAUUUCAAUCUAGUUCUGCACCAUUACUACCUUGAUGUUGAAGAUAUGUCAUGGACAAGAAUUUCAAUGCACUGCAAGGGGAAAUAUAUUCUACAUCACAAAGGCUGUUGUCGAGACCACCAAAACAACAAAAGGUGCUAAUGCAUGCAAUAAGAGUGCUCGAAGUGGUUCGCUGAGUUGGAUGGAUGC